RNAcentral lists this transfer RNA (73 nucleotides) under Camelus bactrianus (Bactrian camel). It matches the Rfam family "tRNA". From Rfam's summary of the family: Transfer RNA (tRNA) molecules are approximately 80 nucleotides in length. Their secondary structure includes four short double-helical elements and three loops (D, anti-codon, and T loops). Lineage: Eukaryota; Metazoa; Chordata; Mammalia; Artiodactyla; Camelidae. RNAcentral also lists the same sequence under 2 other names. The record is from Rfam by way of RNAcentral.
GGAGGUAUACCUCAAGUGGAAGAGCGCGUGCUUAGCAUGCACAGGGUCCUGGGUUCAAUCCCCAGUCCCUCUA